This 1335-nucleotide ribosomal RNA is filed under the name Salmonella enterica subsp. enterica serovar Hull. Its description in RNAcentral is "partial 23S ribosomal RNA". It matches the Rfam family "Bacterial large subunit ribosomal RNA", at positions 398 to 1735 of the family's 2925-position model. Lineage: Bacteria; Pseudomonadati; Pseudomonadota; Gammaproteobacteria; Enterobacterales; Enterobacteriaceae. The record is from RNAcentral.
UGUGAGCUCGAUGAGUAGGGCGGGACACGUGGUAUCCUGUCUGAAUAUGGGGGGACCAUCCUCCAAGGCUAAAUACUCCUGACUGACCGAUAGUGAACCAGUACCGUGAGGGAAAGGCGAAAAGAACCCCGGCGAGGGGAGUGAAAAAGAACCUGAAACCGUGUACGUACAAGCAGUGGGAGCACCCUUUGGGGUGUGACUGCGUACCUUUUGUAUAAUGGGUCAGCGACUUAUAUUCUGUAGCAAGGUUAACCGUAUAGGGGAGCCGCAGGGAAACCGAGUCUUAACCGGGCGUUAAGUUGCAGGGUAUAGACCCGAAACCCGGUGAUCUAGCCAUGGGCAGGUUGAAGGUUGGGUAACACUAACUGGAGGACCGAACCGACUAAUGUUGAAAAAUUAGCGGAUGACCUGUGGCUGGGGGUGAAAGGCCAAUCAAACCGGGAGAUAGCUGGUUCUCCCCGAAAGCUAUUUAGGUAGCGCCUCGUGAAUUCAUCUCCGGGGGUAGAGCACUGUUUCGGCUAGGGGGCCAUCCCGGCUUACCAACCCGAUGCAAACUGCGAAUACCGGAGAAUGUUAUCACGGGAGACACACGGCGGGUGCUAACGUCCGUCGUGAAGAGGGAAACAACCCAGACCGCCAGCUAAGGUCCCAAAGUCAUGGUUAAGUGGGAAACGAUGUGGGAAGGCCCAGACAGCCAGGAUGUUGGCUUAGAAGCAGCCAUCAUUUAAAGAAAGCGUAAUAGCUCACUGGUCGAGUCGGCCUGCGCGGAAGAUGUAACGGGGCUAAACCAUGCACCGAAGCUGCGGCAGCGACACUCAGGUGUUGUUGGGUAGGGGAGCGUUCUGUAAGCCUGUGAAGGUGGCCUGUGAGGGUUGCUGGAGGUAUCAGAAGUGCGAAUGCUGACAUAAGUAACGAUAAAGCGGGUGAAAAGCCCGCUCGCCGGAAGACCAAGGGUUCCUGUCCAACGUUAAUCGGGGCAGGGUGAGUCGACCCCUAAGGCGAGGCCGAAAGGCGUAGUCGAUGGGAAACGGGUUAAUAUUCCCGUACUUGGUGUUACUGCGAAGGGGGGACGGAGAAGGCUAUGUUGGCCGGGCGACGGUUGUCCCGGUUUAAGCGUGUAGGCUGGUUUUCCAGGCAAAUCCGGAAAAUCAAGGCUGAGGCGUGACGACGAGGCACUACGGUGCUGAAGCAACAAAUGCCCUGCUUCCAGGAAAAGCCUCUAAGCAUCAGGUAACAUCAAAUCGUACCCCAAACCGACACAGGUGGUCAGGUAGAGAAUACCAAGGCGCUUGAGAGAACUCGGGUGAAGGAACUAGGCAAAAUGGUGCCGUAACU